RNAcentral lists this long non-coding RNA (1849 nucleotides) under Zostera marina. RNAcentral's name for it is "long non-coding RNA (ZMAR_LNC002814)". Lineage: Eukaryota; Viridiplantae; Streptophyta; Magnoliopsida; Alismatales; Zosteraceae. The record is from RNAcentral.
CAGUGGAUACAUCAUCCUCAGAAGGAAUUACAAGAUCAACGUCUUCUUGAAAACCAAUGGCACCCAAACUCUCAGGGAGACUGGAUAUUUUCUGAGGUAAGGACGCAAUAGUUCUAAAACCAGGUGUCUCGAGAUCAUUUGACUGAGCUUUAGCAUCAAGAGGUGACAUUAAAACCAGUUCUAUACUAUUUUCAUUCAUAGCAGAUUCUUCGGCGACAGGUAUCACUUGCUCUUUUUUAAGAGGAAAUUCAGAAGUAGGUGUUUCUAAUUGCCUGCAAAUCUCUUUAUUGACCAUUUCUGAAACAGCAAGAGCAUUUUUAGUUUCAAGAGAAGAAACAGUUAUUGCGUCGGAUUUGUUUUUCAUGGGAAUAUCAGAAUCUCCAUUUUCAUCUGCCAAUGAUUUUUCAACAAUAUCAGCUGCAACAAGAAUAUUUUUAACCUCGACAUUAUCGCUGUGUUUUCCUUUCUUUUUCUUCUUACGACGUUUACUUCUGUCAUUAUUGGCUAAAGGAGCAGUGGAUACAUCAUCCUCAGAAGGAAUUACAAGAUCAACGUCUUCUUGAAAAUCAAUGGUACCCAAACUCUCAGGGAGACUGGAUAUUUUCUGAGGUAAGGACGCAAUAGUUCUAAAACCAGGUGUCUCGAGAUCAUUUGACUGAGCUUUAGCAUCAAGAGGUGACGUCAAAACCAGUUCUAUACUAUUUUCAUUCAUAGCAGAUUCUUCGGCGACAGGUAUCACUUGCUCUUUUUCAAGAGGAAAUUCAGAAGUAGGUGUUUCUAAUAGCCUGCAAAUCUCUUUAUUGACCUUUUCUGAAACAGCAAGAGCAUUUUUAGUUUCAAGAGAAAAAACAGUUAUUGUGUCGGAUUUGUUUUUCAUGGGAAUAUCAGAAUCUCCAUUUUCAUCUGCCAAUGAUUUUUCAACAUUAUCAGCUGCAACAAGAAUAUUUUUAACCUCGACAUUAUCGCUGUGUUUUCCUUUCUUUUUCUUCUUACGACGUUUACUUCUGUCAUUAUUGACUAAAGGAGCGGUGGAUACAUCAUCCUCAGAAGGAAUUACAAGAUCAACGUCUUCUUGAAAACCAAUGGUACCCAAACUCUCAGGGAGACUGGAUAUUUUCUGAGGUAAGGACGCAAUAGUUCUAAAACCAGGUGUCUCGAGAUCAUUUGACUGAGCUUUAGCAUCAAGAGGUGACGUCAAAACCAGUUUUAUACUAUUUUCAUUCAUAGCAGAUUCUUCGGCGACAGGUAUCACUUGCUCUUUCUCAAGAGGAAAUUCAGAAGUAGGUGUUUCUAAUUGCCUGCAAAUCUCUUUAUUGACCUUUUCUGAAAUAGCAAGAGCAUUUUUAGUUUCAAGAGAAGAAACAGUUAUUGUGUCGGAUUUGUUUUUAAUGGGAAUAUCAGAAUCUCCAUUUUCAUCUGCCAAUGAUUUUUCAACAUUAUCAGCUGCAACAAGAAUAUUUUUAACCUCGACAUUAUCGCUGUGUUUUCCUUUCUUUUUCUUCUUACGACGUUUACUUCUGUCAUUAUUGACUAAAGGAGCGGUGGAUACAUCAUCCUCAGAAGGAAUUACAAGAUCAACGUCUUCUUGAAAACCAAUGGCACCCAAAUUCUCAGGGAGACUGGAUAUUUUCUGAGGUAAGGACGCAAUAGUUCUAAAACCAGGUGUCUCGAGAUCAUUUGACUGAGCUUUAGCAUCAAGAGGUGACGUCAAAACCAGUUCCUUACUAUUUUCAUUCAUAGCAGAUUCUUCGGCGAAAGAUAUCACUUGCUCUUUUUCAAGAGGAAAUUCAGAAGUGGGUGUUUCUAAUUGCCUGCAAAUCUCUUUAUUGACCUUUUCUGAAACAGCAAG